AUUGAACGCUGGCGGCAGGCCUAACACAUGCAAGUCGAACGGUAACAGAAAGCAGCUUGCUGCUUUGCUGACGAGUGGCGGACGGGUGAGUAAUGUCUGGGAAACUGCCUGAUGGAGGGGGAUAACUACUGGAAACGGUAGCUAAUACCGCAUAACGUCGCAAGACCAAAGAGGGGGACCUUCGGGCCUCUUGCCAUCGGAUGUGCCCAGAUGGGAUUAGCUAGUAGGUGGGGUAACGGCUCACCUAGGCGACGAUCCCUAGCUGGUCUGAGAGGAUGACCAGCCACACUGGAACUGAGACACGGUCCAGACUCCUACGGGAGGCAGCAGUGGGGAAUAUUGCACAAUGGGCGCAAGCCUGAUGCAGCCAUGCCGCGUGUAUGAAGAAGGCCUUCGGGUUGUAAAGUACUUUCAGCGAGGAGGAAGGUGUUGUGGUUAAUAACCACAGCAAUUGACGUUACUCGCAGAAGAAGCACCGGCUAACUCCGUGCCAGCAGCCGCCGUAA
This 506-nucleotide ribosomal RNA is filed under the name uncultured bacterium. RNAcentral's name for it is "partial 16S ribosomal RNA". It matches the Rfam family "Bacterial small subunit ribosomal RNA", at positions 30 to 523 of the family's 1533-position model. The record is from RNAcentral.